CAUAUGGCAAUAUUGAUCCUACCCACGUAAUAUGGACACAGGCCUAAGCGAGGUUCUUGUUUUCAAAUUGUUCCGGACUGAGGCCGCCUUCGCUGACGAGUGGCGGACGGGUGAGUAAUGUCUGGGAAACUGCCUGAUGGAGGGGGAUAACUACUGGAAACGGUAGCUAAUACCGCAUAACGUCGCAAGACCAAAGAGGGGGACCUUCGGGCCUCUUGCCAUCGGAUGUGCCCAGAUGGGAUUAGCUAGUAGGUGGGGUAACGGCUCACCUAGGCGACGAUCCCUAGCUGGUCUGAGAGGAUGACCAGCCACACUGGAACUGAGACACGGUCCAGACUCCUACGGGAGGCAGCAGUGGGGAAUAUUGCACAAUGGGCGCAAGCCUGAUGCAGCCAUGCCGCGUGUAUGAAGAAGGCCUUCGGGUUGUAAAGUACUUUCAGCGGGGAGGAAGGGAGUAAAGUUAAUACCUUUGCUCAUUGACGUUACCCGCAGAAGAAGCACCGGCUAACUCCGUGCCAGCAGCCGCGGUAAUACGGAGGGUGCAAGCGUUAAUCGGAAUUACUGGGCGUAAAGCGCACGCAGGCGGUUUGUUAAGUCAGAUGUGAAAUCCCCGGGCUCAACCUGGGAACUGCAUCUGAUACUGGCAAGCUUGAGUCUCGUAGAGGGGGGUAGAAUUCCAGGUGUAGCGGUGAAAUGCGUAGAGAUCUGGAGGAAUACCGGUGGCGAAGGCGGCCCCCUGGACGAAGACUGACGCUCAGGUGCGAAAGCGUGGGGAGCAAACAGGAUUAGAUACCCUGGUAGUCCACGCCGUAAACGAUGUCGACUUGGAGGUUGUGCCCUUGAGGCGUGGCUUCCGGAGCUAACGCGUUAAGUCGACCGCCUGGGGAGUACGGCCGCAAGGUUAAAACUCAAAUGAAUUGACGGGGGCCCGCACAAGCGGUGGAGCAUGUGGUUUAAUUCGAUGCAACGCGAAGAACCUUACCUGGUCUUGACAUCCACGGAAGUUUUCAGAGAUGAGAAUGUGCCUUCGGGAACCGUGAGACAGGUGCUGCAUGGCUGUCGUCAGCUCGUGUUGUGAAAUGUUGGGUUAAGUCCCGCAACGAGCGCAACCCUUAUCCUUUGUUGCCAGCGGUCCGGCCGGGAACUCAAAGGAGACUGCCAGUGAUAAACUGGAGGAAGGUGGGGAUGACGUCAAGUCAUCAUGGCCCUUACGACCAGGGCUACACACGUGCUACAAUGGCGCAUACAAAGAGAAGCGACCUCGCGAGAGCAAGCGGACCUCAUAAAGUGCGUCGUAGUCCGGAUUGGAGUCUGCAACUCGACUCCAUGAAGUCGGAAUCGCUAGUAAUCGUGGAUCAGAAUGCCACGGUGAAUACGUUCCCGGGCCUUGUACACACCGCCCGUCACACCAUGGGAGUGGGUUGCAAAAGAAGUAGGUAGCUUAACCUUCGGGAGGGCGCUUACCACUUUGUGAUUCAUGACUGGGGUGAAGUCGUAACAAGGUAACCGUAGGGGAACCUGCGGUUGGAUCACCUCCUUA
This 1540-nucleotide ribosomal RNA is filed under the name Escherichia coli. RNAcentral's name for it is "bacterial SSU rRNA". It matches the Rfam family "Bacterial small subunit ribosomal RNA". Lineage: Bacteria; Pseudomonadati; Pseudomonadota; Gammaproteobacteria; Enterobacterales; Enterobacteriaceae. The record is from RNAcentral. RNAcentral also lists the same sequence under 1 other name.